This 440-nucleotide ribosomal RNA is filed under the name uncultured bacterium. RNAcentral's name for it is "partial 16S ribosomal RNA". It matches the Rfam family "Bacterial small subunit ribosomal RNA", at positions 338 to 795 of the family's 1533-position model. The record is from RNAcentral.
UCUACGGGAGGCAGCAGUGGGGGAUAUUGCACAAUGGGGGGAACCCUGAUGCAGCGACGCCGCGUGGGUGAAGAAGCGCCUCGGUGCGUAAAGCCCUGUCAGCAGGGAAGAAAUUGACGGUACCUGUAGAAGAAGCCCCGGCUAACUACGUGCCAGCAUCCGCGGUAAUACGUAGGGGGCACGCGGUAUCCGGAUUUACUGGGUGUAAAGGGGGCGCAGGCGGCGAUGCAAGCCAGGUGGGAGAGCGCGGGGCCCAACCCCGGGAGUGCUGUUGGAACUGCGUGGCUGGAGUGCAGGAGGGGCAGGCGGAAUGCGUGGUGUAGCGGUGAAAUGCGUAGAUAGCAGGAGGAACACCGGUGGCGAAGGCGGCCUGCUGGACUGCAACUGACGUUGAGGCCCGAAAGCGUGGGGAGCAAACAGGAUUAGAUACCCCUGUAGUC